RNAcentral lists this ribosomal RNA (349 nucleotides) under uncultured bacterium. Its description in RNAcentral is "partial 16S ribosomal RNA". It matches the Rfam family "Bacterial small subunit ribosomal RNA", at positions 338 to 704 of the family's 1533-position model. The record is from RNAcentral.
CCUACGGGAGACAGCAGUGGGGGAUAUUGCACAAUGGGGGAAACCCUGAUGCAGCGACGCCGCGUGGGUGAAGAAGGGCCUCGGCGCGGAAAGCCCUGUCAGCAGGGAAGAAAAUGACGGUAACUGAAGAAGAAGCCACGGCGAACAACGUGCCAGCAGCCGCGGUAAGACGAAGGGGGCAAGCGUUAUCCGGAGUGACUGGGGGUCAAGGGGGCGAAGACGGCGUGGCAAGCCAGGAGUGAACGCCCGGGGCCCAACCCCGGGACUGCUCUUGGAACUGCGUGGCUAGAGUGCAGGAGGGGCCGGCGGAAUUCCUGGUGUAGCGGUGCAAUGCUUAGAUAUCCGGCGG